GGAGGUUGAGAGUUCAGAUACCAUCAACAAUGUUAAAGCAAAGGUCCAAGACAAAGGAGGGUAUUCCUCCGAACCAGUAGAGAUUGAUGUUUGCUGGAGAGCAACUUGAAGAUGGAAGGAUCUUGGCAGAUUACAACAUUCAGAAACAGUCAACGCUGCACCUUGUUCUUCGUCUUAGAGGUGGCAUGCAAUUUUUUGUCAAGACUUAGACUGGGAAGACAAUUACGUUGGAGGUUGAGAGUUUAGAUACCAAUGACAACAUCAAAGCAAAGAUUCAAGACAAGG
This 285-nucleotide unclassified non-coding RNA is filed under the name Hevea brasiliensis (rubber tree). Lineage: Eukaryota; Viridiplantae; Streptophyta; Magnoliopsida; Malpighiales; Euphorbiaceae. The record is from RNAcentral.